GACGAAGGGGGCUAGCGUUGUUCGGAAUUACUGGGCGUAAAGCGCGUGUAGGCGGUUGCCCAAGUCGGGUGUGAAAGCCUUGAGCUCAACUCAAGAAAUGCACUCGGUACUGGGUGACUAGAGGACCGGAGAGGAUGGUGGAAUUCCCAGUGUAGUGGUGAAAUACGUAGAGAUUGGGAAGAACACCAGUGGCGAAGGCGGCUAUCUGGACGGUUUCUGACGCUAAGACGCGAAAGCGUGGGGAGCAAACAGG
Molecule: ribosomal RNA, 253 nt
Filed under: uncultured bacterium
Lineage: Bacteria
Description: partial 16S ribosomal RNA
Rfam family: Bacterial small subunit ribosomal RNA
Source: RNAcentral